CUAUGAGGAAAGUUCAGUGUCUGCAUGCAGAGGGUGGAGAUACUGAAUGUUUGGAUGCAUUUUAGGCAGCCAUGACCCAGGAAGGAUCUCUAACAGCCAUCUGAGGAGUGGCCAGUGAGGUUAUCACUAGGCUGUAAUGUAAACACUGCAUUUUCUCUGAAAAGACGGUGUUUACAGCAAAAAGCCUGAAGGUAAUGAUUCUACUCACCAGAACAAAUUCAAUAAGCUGUAGUU
This 234-nucleotide long non-coding RNA is filed under the name Pelobates cultripes (western spadefoot toad). Lineage: Eukaryota; Metazoa; Chordata; Amphibia; Anura; Pelobatidae. The record is from RNAcentral.